This 281-nucleotide long non-coding RNA is filed under the name Phascolarctos cinereus (koala). RNAcentral describes it as "lncRNA (ENSPCIG00000031356.1)". Lineage: Eukaryota; Metazoa; Chordata; Mammalia; Diprotodontia; Phascolarctidae. The record is from RNAcentral.
CUGGAGAAGAACAUUCAGGGUUGAGGAGAGACCAUCUCAGAAGCCUAGAGAGGACCCAAGAAUGAGGCUCUCUACCCUGAGUUCUGCAAUCAGUGGCUGGCAAAGUGGCAAGUAAGCUGGUAACUGGCAAGAAUGCAAACACUGGACUGAUUAAUGUGCAUAUAUUUGGAAGGCAUCUUCUUGGAACUGUGGUUUCCAGUGAUGUGUGCAUGCCCAGUGGUAUGGCGGAGGACUGUGGAACAGGUUCCUUAAAAUUUCUGCUGCAAGGAUUAUUUAUGUGA